CCUACGGGAGGCAGCAGUGAGGAAUAUUGGUCAAUGGGCGUAAGCCUGAACCAGCCAAGUCGCGUGAGGGAUGAAGGUUCUAUGGAUCGUAAACCUCUUUUAUAAGGGAGUAAAGUGCGGGACGUGUCCCGUUUUGUAUGUACCUUAUGAAUAAGGAUCGGCUAACUCCGUGCCAGCAGCCGCGGUAAUACGGAGGAUCCGAGCGUUAUCCGGAUUUAUUGGGUUUAAAGGGUGCGUAGGCGGCCUGUUAAGUCCGCGGGGAAAGUCGGUGGGUAAACCAUAGAAUUGCCGUUGAAACUGGUAGGCUUGAGUAUGUGUGAGGCAGGCGGAAUGCGUGGUGUAGCGGUGAAAUGCAUAGAUAUCACGCAGAACCCCGAUUGCGAAGGCAG
RNAcentral lists this ribosomal RNA (389 nucleotides) under uncultured bacterium. Its description in RNAcentral is "partial 16S ribosomal RNA". It matches the Rfam family "Bacterial small subunit ribosomal RNA", at positions 338 to 724 of the family's 1533-position model. The record is from RNAcentral.